GCAUAUCAAUAAGCGGAGGAAAAGAAACUAACAAGGAUUCCCCUAGUAACGGCGAGUGAAGAGGGAAGAGCUCAAAUUUUAAAUCUGCCUUGUUUCAAGGUCGAGUUGUAAUUUGAAGAAGCGUUUUCUUGGGCUCGCGGCCGGUAGAAGUUCUUUGGAACAGGACAUCAUAGAGGGUGACAAUCCCGUCUGCGACCGGUCGUGCGUUCAUCUACGAUACGCUUUCAAAGAGUCGAGUUGUUUGGGAUUGCAGCUCCAAAUGGGUGGUAAACAUCACCUAAGGCUAAAUAUUGGCGAGAGACCGAUAGCGAACAAGUACCGUGAGGGAAAGAUGAAAAGAACUUUGAAAAGAGAGUUAAACAGUACGUGAAAUUGUUGAAAGGGAAACGAUUGAAGUCAGUCGUGCUGGCGCGAAAUCAACCCUCUCGUCGAGAGGACACAUGGCGUGGCGAGCCUCAAAACCGUCACGAAGCGUGAACUCUUGGCGAAAAGGAGCACUUUCGUGUCCGCUGGUUAACAUCAAUUUCGAACGUCAUAAAAAGGCUGGAGGGAUGUGGCUCCUUCGGGAGUGUUAUAACCUUUAGCGGAAUGUGGUGGUCGGGAUUGAGGAUUGCAACGAAUACCUUUAGGGCUGUUCCACCUGGCCUCUCUUUGGUAUCCUGGUGACGACAGCUUGCUGACGUUGUUAGGAUUCGCCAUUGAACAGGCUAGAGUGUGAGCAAAUUCGUUAAGGAUGUUGACGUAAUGGCUUUAAACGAC
This 759-nucleotide ribosomal RNA is filed under the name Entrophospora claroidea. Its description in RNAcentral is "partial 28S large subunit ribosomal RNA". It matches the Rfam family "Eukaryotic large subunit ribosomal RNA", at positions 38 to 648 of the family's 3401-position model. The record is from RNAcentral. Lineage: Eukaryota; Fungi; Glomeromycota; Glomeromycetes; Entrophosporales; Entrophosporaceae.